AUUGAACGCUGGCGGCAUGCCUUACACAUGCAAGUCGAACGGCAGCGGGGGAGAAGCUUGCUUUUCCUGCCGGCGAGUGGCGAACGGGUGAGUAAUACAUCGGAACGUGCCCUGUAGUGGGGGAUAACUAGUCGAAAGAUUAGCUAAUACCGCAUACGACCUGAGGGUGAAAGUGGGGGACCGCAAGGCCUCAUGCUAUAGGAGCGGCCGAUGUCUGAUUAGCUAGUUGGUGGGGUAAAGGCCUACCAAGGCGACGAUCAUUAGCUGGUCUGAGAGGACGAUCAGCCACACUGGGACUGAGACACGGCCCAGACCCCUACGGGAGGCAGCAGUGGGGAAUUUUGGACAAUGGGCGAAAGCCUGAUCCAGCAAUGCCGCGUGUGUGAAGAAGGCCUUCGGGUUGUAAAGCACUUUUGUCCGGAAAGAAAUGGCUCUGGUUAAUACCUGGGGUCGAUGACGGUACCGGAAGAAUAAGGACCGGCUAACUACGUGCCAGCAGCCGCGGUAA
Molecule: ribosomal RNA, 508 nt
Filed under: uncultured bacterium
Lineage: Bacteria
Description: partial 16S ribosomal RNA
Rfam family: Bacterial small subunit ribosomal RNA
Source: RNAcentral